UCAAAUGUAGAGACAGUGCAGCAGAAGCAAUGGAAAAAUCAAGUGGCUAACAAUAAUAAGAAGGGGAAGAAUGGUGGUAGAAGAAGAACUGCUUUGAAACCACUUCCGACUAUCUCAGAUAUAAACCAAAAGGAAAGAAUCGAUAUGCCUCUGCAGAAUUCUACUCCAAUUCCUGUUCUUGACUUAAACCAGAAGGCAAAGACUUCUUCUAGGAAGAAAGCCAGUCAACAUAACUCGACCCCGGUUUUCGACUUGAACCAGAAGGAAAGAAUGUGCAGUGGGAGAGAUGCUAGCGAGAGAAACAUCACUCCAUUUUUUGACUUGAACCAAAUUUCGGUAACUGAUAGGAACUUAUGAUAGCUAAACUCUACAAAUUUAAUUUUUCACUACAAUCUUGACCACCCCCUUCUUCCUAACAAUCUCUAUAUUUAUUUUGGUUCAGAUAGAGGAAGAGGAAUUGCAGACCCAUUACGAGCCGCUGAGAGUUGAUGAGCUGAAGAAAAGCCUUCUUCGAGGAGGGAACGAUGAGCAGCAAAACGAUAUCAAGAUUUCUGCAUGCAGGAGUAUUGGAGAUGGUCCAAGUCGAGCUGGUAAAAGAAAAAUUUCAUGGCAAGAUCAGGUAGCUUUAAGGGUUUGAGCUCAUUGUAAUCUCUAGUGUCACUUAGAACAAUACCAUAUGGGUGAUGGGGUUGAGGCAUUUCCUUUGCCUGAAAGCCACCAAGGUUGAUUGUAAUUCCUUCUCUGAUUCUGUAUUUUUCUAUGUAAAGGGAAAGUAAAGUAGUUUUUGUACAUGAUAAUACAUUUAAAAAGAAUGAUGAUGAGAUAUGGAAAAGAAUCAAAAUGGCAAUCCUUCAAUCUUUUGUCUACUUUUGGCUUGUAAGUUAUCAGAUGAGUAGAUGGUACAUCUUUAACUGUAACAAUAGCUGAAAAAGGAAAUUGGAUUUGUUCUUAAAAAGCUGUGCUAAUUCUUUCUGCAAACCAAAUUGUCAUUUUAUAAGAAGAAAAGAUAGAAAAGAUAAUACGUUGAAUCCAUAUGCUAACGGCCUUUUUAGGAUUUUAAUAUCUAUGAGUUCUUUUAACACAAAUACUGUAGGAUCAAGACUGUAUAUUAGUUAGUUUGAACUCUUAUGAUAUUAAAAAAAAACACAAAUUACGUUCAGAUCAACCAAAGAAAACGUGAAAACUUUCACAACUGCAACAUAGUAUAUGAAAACUAAAAGUUGGAUUUGGAUCUAUGUAACAAAAAUGUUAAUGAUAAUGAGAAUCUCAAUUAAUAGUAGGAGAAACAUAAAAGUAGCAGAAAAAAGAAACAAGUCUAAUAAAGUUCAUGUAAAGUUAUAAGUUGGAGCAGCUGUGGUCCAUAUCACUUUUAGAGUCAGUCAAGGAUAGUGUGCAAAAUCCAAUAUGGCAUUAAUUUAAUUUUUUCCACCAAGAGUUUAGGGAGCCAUAUAAUCCUCCAUUGAUCACAAAAUUACACAUACCUAAACACAAAGUCAAGCAUAUUAAGAGUAUCCAAGAUUAGAACAAAUUAUCUUCAUUCUUAUUGGAAGAAAAAGAGUGCCUAAUGAUCAAUAAUUAGUAAUGCUAUGAAAUCUAUAUAAAAAAAAUUGGGAAAAAACAAAUAAUACAGUGCAAUUUUGUGUACAACACACACUUAACCUUCAAUCUUUUGUAAAUUUUGACUUAUUCAAAAUCAUGCUAAAUGUUAAAAUUGGUGAAAAUAUAUACAAAUUAUAGCAAAUUUAAAAUCAUAUCACUGAUACACAUUGGUAAAUACUUUAUUGUUAAGAGAAUUUAAUAUAUUUUUGCUAAUAUUUUGGUUCAUUUUACUAUAUUUGAAAAUGUCUCAAUUUUUAUUCGAUUAAAAACUAAUUUAAAGUUUUUAAAAAAUGGGUUAAUAUUCAAAAAUAUAUUUCCAUAUAUGAUUGUAUAUUUUUCUAUAUAUGAGUUGUAUAGUUUAAAUUUUGAUAUGUAUUUUAGUUCAAUAUUAGGUUGUAGGGCAAAAUGCAUUUUUGGUUUUUGAGAUUUGGUGUUAUUGUCUAUUUGGUCUACGAAGUUUCAAUAAAGGUGACACUUUUGAGUUCUCAAGGUUUGAAAAAUAGUUCUAAAUGGUCUUUAUGUUAAAGUUGACUAACGAAAAAAUGACGUGACACUCAAAGAAAGCAAUUGUUAUAAUAAUUUUAUAUUUAUUUGUGUUGCUUUAUUUUAUUUUCCUUUGUCUUUCUUCUCCAGCUUCCCGUCCCACAGGUUUCUUUUCCUCCAUGUAGAUAGAUUUUCGAUUAGUACCAUUUUUGUUAUAUGUUUAGUUCUUUAUUCUCUCAAAAUUUGAAAUUUGCAAAGACCACUUACUCCCCGGCUAUUUUUGGUAUUUUAUUAUGUAUUAAUACUUUGUGCAAAUAUUUCAAAGAUAGACUGAAGUUUUGCCAAAAAAAAAAAAUUAUGAGAUUUAAUUGUUUGUUAUUUAUUCCUAUAUUUCUUUAGGUUUACAAACUACUAACUCGUUCAAUGAACAAACUCCAAACAAGAGUGGUAGCAAAUUUAAGUAUUAGAAUUUGAGCUAUGAUAUAGGAGAUCAAUUAGGACAUAGAAUUAAAUUUGCUAUCAUGUCUAGUGGUUCGAGAUAAAUUUAAUUAUAUGUCAUUAGCAGCUACAAUGGAAGGGCAUGUUGCUUUUGCUAGAGGUUUCAUGCUUGAACGUGUUCUAUUUAUACCCACGUUACAUCGUAUUUUGAUAUAUGUGUCUCAACUAAUUGAAGAUGCUACUUGUUUUACCUGGUUUGCACCUUCUUUACUGCUACAACCUUACAUUCUGGAAAUUUGAUUGGCACCGGUCCACAAAAAAAUGGACUCUAUCGUUCUCGAGGAAGUUCUACAGUAGACUUUGGUGAAAGUUCCAGAAUUAUUAGAAUUUGACUAUGACAUAGGAGAUUGGGACACCCAUCAGACAGAGUAGCAAAUUUAAUUACUGUCACUCAUCUUAGUUGAAUAAAAAAAAAUUGGACAAAGCAUGAGUCACUUGUCCUCCGACUGAAAGAAGUCGUGAUAAUUACUGUUAGUGACAGUAAAGCUAGCCGUAUCUUUGAACUUAUUGAUUGUGAUUUGUGGGAGCCAUGUAACCAAACGGUCCAAACCCCAUCUUCAUAUGGUGAUCAUUGUUUUUUAUUACAUUAGUCGAUGAUUUUUCAAGAGUUGUUUAACUGUACAAGAUAAAACAGAAGUUUAUAUAGUUUUUCUUUCAUUCUUUGCCAUGAUUGGAUGUCAAUUUGAAACCGCCCUUAAAUUAGUGAGAAGUGAAAAGGGCUUUGGAAAAUAAACCAACUUAGGUCAAUGGAAGUCUUACCUCCGAGCAAGGAAGAAAUUUCUUGUUAAUUUUUAACAACCACAAGGUUGAGAAUGUGUUGAUUAUAAUGAAACUUUUGCCCUAAUGGCCAAAAUGGUAAUUGGUCGAACAUUUUUACCAGUCAUAGCUGCAACCACAAGGUUAGAUACGUGGUGUGUUGCCUCGUAACAUCUUUAUAUAGAUCUUUAUAUAGUUUACGUGAAGCUCCGAGGGGUUGGUUUUCUAGGUUGGCUACUUCACCAAAUGAUUUUCUUCACCUAGUUGGACAUUUCUGAUCCUCAUGCUCCAACUUGGCCAGGAUAUUCAGAAAUGUAUUUUCUUAUAUAAUAUGAUAUAUAAUUUGUAUAUUUUUCUAUUUAUUUAUUUUGAUAGGUACAUACUUUACUUCAAUAUGGGGUUGCCUAUAUAUUCACCUCAUCCAAAAUAAAAACCUAAGGGAAAUACCUUUCCUUGACCGUUAAUUAAAUUGGAGAAUUCAAUCUCUUAUAUAUAUAUUAUACAUUUAAAAAUAAAAGAGCUAAAUUAUUACAACCAAAGAGACAUGAACUGAAUUGUUGUUUUUCGGAUAAAAAAUAUACCUUUUAACUUAAACCCUAACACAGUAAGAAAAUUGAACUCUAUUAUUGUUCAACAGCUCUAGGAAAACAAAUCAAGACUGCAAAUCCAUGAAAAAAUAACUCAUGGGUUUGGUUCAUUUACAAUUAGUAACCUACCAAACUCCUUCAUGGAGCAUUGGUCAGUCAUAUUAAUGAAAUUUGUCAAUCCAAGUUCUGAGUUUGUGACAUUAAGAUCAGUUUAGGAGUAACAAAAGCUAUGGAUGAAAAAACAAUUGAAAGUUUUUUUUCCUUCCAGGAAACAGGAACUGUCAAGAGGAAAUUACAAAUGAUGAAGCAAAAGAAGAUGAGCCUAAUAGCAGAAGUCAGGUAUAAUCUUCAUAUUAUUACUUUUUAUUUUUGUUGAUCUUCACAAGGAGUAAGUGAAUUGUUUAGAACUAAAUAAGAGUCUAUGUUUAUGUUGAAGAUUCUUAAGGAAGAGAUGUGAGUACUUAAUGAAGAACCAACCAUCAACAAAAGAGACCAUUAUUCAAAUGGAGAGACAGUGCAGCAGAAGCAAUUGAAAAAUCAAGUGGCUAACAAUAAUAAGGAGAAGAAUGGUGGUAGAAGAAGAACUGCUUUGAAACCGAUCCCGACCAUCUCAGAUAUAAACCAAAAGGAAAGAAUCGAUAUGCCUCUGCAGAAUUCUACUCCAAUUCCUGUUCUUGACUUAAACCAGAAGGCAAAGACUUCUUCUAGGAAGAAAGCCAGUCAACAUAACUCGACCCCGGUUUUCGACUUGAACCAGAAGGAAAGAAUGUGCAGUGGGAGAGAUGCUAGCGAGAGAAACAUCACUCCAUUUUUUGACUUGAACCAAAUUUCGGUAACUGAUAGGAACUUAUGAUAGCUAAACUCUACAAAUGUAAUUUUUCACUACAAUCUUG
Molecule: long non-coding RNA, 4816 nt
Filed under: Cucumis sativus (cucumber)
Lineage: Eukaryota; Viridiplantae; Streptophyta; Magnoliopsida; Cucurbitales; Cucurbitaceae
Description: long non-coding RNA (CSAT_LNC000259)
Source: RNAcentral